This 398-nucleotide ribosomal RNA is filed under the name uncultured soil bacterium. Its description in RNAcentral is "bacterial SSU rRNA". It matches the Rfam family "Bacterial small subunit ribosomal RNA", at positions 26 to 428 of the family's 1533-position model. The record is from RNAcentral.
AGAUUGAACGCUGGCGGCAUGCUUUACACAUGCAAGUCGAACGGCAGCGCGGGGCAACCUGGCGGCGAGUGGCGAACGGGUGAGUAAUAUAUCGGAACGUACCCAAGAGUGGGGGAUAACGUAGCGAAAGUUACGCUAAUACCGCAUACGAUCUAAGGAUGAAAGCAGGGGACCGCAAGGCCUUGUGCUCCUGGAGCGGCCGAUAUCUGAUUAGCUAGGUUGGUAGGGUAAAGGCCUACCAAGGCUACGAUCAGUAGCUGGUCUGAGAGGACGACCAGCCACACUGGAACUGAGACACGGUCCAGACUCCGUACGGGAGGCAGCAGGUGGGGAAUUUUGGACAAGUGGGGCAACCUGAUCCAGCAAUGCCGCGUGAGUGAAGAGGCUUCGGGUAGUAA